This 1157-nucleotide long non-coding RNA is filed under the name Cyanistes caeruleus (blue tit). RNAcentral describes it as "lncRNA (ENSCCEG00000020309.1)". The record is from RNAcentral. Lineage: Eukaryota; Metazoa; Chordata; Aves; Passeriformes; Paridae.
CCAAAAAGACACAGGAGGAACAUGUUCACUGCCACAGCUGCCCAGAAAUUGAAUUUGCUGCUGAGAAUUUAAUUACAGACAGCAAUCAACGCAGCAGACUGAGAAGUGACCAAAUGUGAGAUGGAGGAUAGAGCAACACCUCUGGAUCUACUGCCUCACUGUGCAGAGGCUAACACGGAGAACAGCGGGCUUCCAGCUAAAAAAAGGAUAAUUCAGAGCCCUUCUGUAUCCUAUAUUCAGCAUCAAAACCAGGCAUUGACAGUCAUCCUGCCAGAUCUUCUGGAAGAGGAGAGAGUUGGCCUGGGUUCAGCUGAUACUUGAGCAGCUCUAGGGGAGAGCCACUCUCCUGCUAAUCAGGACACUUGACAUUCAUCACAAGGCAAGACAAGCUGCUCAUCAGCAGGUCUGCAGGGCAGCUGCUUGUGAGGAAGGUGCAGCAUGAUAAGCUGAAUCAUUUCCCACUCCAGUUCUAUCGUGCAGCCUUUCCCCAGCAUCCCUGAGAUGAACAUCAGCUCACAGUCACUCCAUGCAAGCAUGAAUCCUGCCAUAAAGUCUGGUUACAGCCCCUCAUUCUUUCCUUUCAAGAGAAGUCUGGGGCUUUUUUUAAAUUGGAUUAAAUAGGAACAAACGAAAGAGAGAAGAAAAGAACUGUCUUGGGAAAUCUUUCUUUUCUUCAUUUGCUUCAGGGAGCCACAGAGCUGGAGAUAAAAAGCAGCUUACCAGAAACAAGCAGCAUUUGAUCAGCACUGUUGACCUGCCAGCAGGAGGGAGCCAUGGAUAUAAAAGCCUGGGAAAAAUCAGCAGUCAUCCAUUUCUGCUGUACGUCUCUCAAAACACACAGCACCACCCCUUGUGUGUCCAACACACGACCAGCCUGUGUGAAGGUCUUCCUCUAAGGAACUUCAGAGAGCAAGUACAAAACCAGAAGGAUUUCACACACCACAGGAAACGCUGUGGGAAAUUAACACUUUAAGAGUCAACAGCUCAGGUCUAAAUCACUUUUACCCUUCAGUUUGCUGCUAGCAGUCACCACCUUGUGCACUUCUGUUUUCUGUGACAGUAGAAUCAAUUUAAACACUGAUUUCUCUACUGUUAAAUGUGUACUGUAUUUUAUCAAGCCAGCAGCAAUUAUGUUAAUGGCAUCUUCAGGCUUUUGC